Molecule: ribosomal RNA, 1236 nt
Filed under: Staphylococcus aureus
Lineage: Bacteria; Bacillati; Bacillota; Bacilli; Caryophanales; Staphylococcaceae
Description: partial 23S ribosomal RNA
Rfam family: Bacterial large subunit ribosomal RNA
Source: RNAcentral
AAUCCUGUAGUCGAAAAUGUUGUCUCUCUUGAGUGGAUCCUGAGUACGACGGAGCACGUGAAAUUCCGUCGGAAUCUGGGAGGACCAUCUCCUAAGGCUAAAUACUCUCUAGUGACCGAUAGUGAACCAGUACCGUGAGGGAAAGGUGAAAAGCACCCCGGAAGGGGAGUGAAAUAGAACCUGAAACCGUGUGCUUACAAGUAGUCAGAGCCCGUUAAUGGGUGAUGGCGUGCCUUUUGUAGAAUGAACCGGCGAGUUACGAUUUGAUGCAAGGUUAAGCAGUAAAUGUGGAGCCGUAGCGAAAGCGAGUCUGAAUAGGGCGUUUAGUAUUUGGUCGUAGACCCGAAACCAGGUGAUCUACCCUUGGUCAGGUUGAAGUUCAGGUAACACUGAAUGGAGGACCGAACCGACUUACGUUGAAAAGUGAGCGGAUGAACUGAGGGUAGCGGAGAAAUUCCAAUCGAACCUGGAGAUAGCUGGUUCUCUCCGAAAUAGCUUUAGGGCUAGCCUCAAGUGAUGAUUAUUGGAGGUAGAGCACUGUUUGGACGAGGGGCCCCUCUCGGGUUACCGAAUUCAGACAAACUCCGAAUGCCAAUUAAUUUAACUUGGGAGUCAGAACAUGGGUGAUAAGGUCCGUGUUCGAAAGGGAAACAGCCCAGACCACCAGCUAAGGUCCCAAAAUAUAUGUUAAGUGGAAAAGGAUGUGGCGUUGCCCAGACAACUAGGAUGUUGGCUUAGAAGCAGCCAUCAUUUAAAGAGUGCGUAAUAGCUCACUAGUCGAGUGACACUGCGCCGAAAAUGUACCGGGGCUAAACAUAUUACCGAAGCUGUGGAUUGUCCUUUGGACAAUGGUAGGAGAGCGUUCUAAGGGCGUUGAAGCAUGAUCGUAAGGACAUGUGGAGCGCUUAGAAGUGAGAAUGCCGGUGUGAGUAGCGAAAGACGGGUGAGAAUCCCGUCCACCGAUUGACUAAGGUUUCCAGAGGAAGGCUCGUCCGCUCUGGGUUAGUCGGGUCCUAAGCUGAGGCCGACAGGCGUAGGCGAUGGAUAACAGGUUGAUAUUCCUGUACCACCUAUAAUCGUUUUAAUCGAUGGGGGGACGCAGUAGGAUAGGCGAAGCGUGCGAUUGGAUUGCACGUCUAAGCAGUAAGGCUGAGUAUUAGGCAAAUCCGGUACUCGUUAAGGCUGAGCUGUGAUGGGGAGAAGACAUUGUGUCUUCGAGUCGUUGAUUUCACACUG